Molecule: long non-coding RNA, 2225 nt
Organism: Rana temporaria (common frog)
Lineage: Eukaryota; Metazoa; Chordata; Amphibia; Anura; Ranidae
Exons: 2
Source: RefSeq, a predicted model, not a curated record
GGGCGGGUAAAAAGUAUUUCGGGUGGAAGAUGAGGAGGAAGAACAGAAGAAGAGAGAAGCGGCGGCGGCUGAGCAGAAAAGGCACAGAGGGUCUGCGCUGACAUGGAUGGACUGUUCACAAGAACGAGGUACCGUCAAGAUCUGCUGAAUGUUGCUCACCCUAGGGAACUGGCGAUCCCAAGGAGCCGUGCGUUCCGUGCCGUAACUGAGGAGCAGUGAUAAGCAGGUGUAUUCUGAUUGUGUCUUUAGAUUGAAUCAUUCAGGGGGUGUCCUGUGGUGACUAAUGCAGUCUUGUGACAGCGUGGUCCGUAAUGAAUGUUGCCACCAGGUGGCAGAGUAUGUGGGGGUUCAAUGGUAAACGGUACAGGGUGUGGCCGCUGCUGUUGGUACUGCAGUCUUAAGCUGGUACUGUCUGUAAUAUGAAUGUUGCCACUAGAUAGCGCAGUGUGUGGAUGUACAAAAUAGUACAGGGAGUGGCUGCUGGUGACAGUGCUGUCUGAAUUCUAAAUGUUGCCACUAGGCAACACAAUGUGUGGAUGUACAAAUGGUAAAGGGAGUGGCCGCUGGUGACAGUACUGCAGUUUUAUGACAGUAUUGUCUGUUGCCACUAGGUGGCAGUGUAUGGGCAUAAAAAUGCUGCAGGGAGUGGUCACUGGUGACGCAGCUGCAGUGUGAUCUAUUAUGAAUGUUGCCACUAGGUGGCAGUGUGAAUGUACAAUAGUGAUGGAGGAGGAAGAAUAGGUCCAAAAAAAAACAUUCUUGGUUUGGGGUGGGAGGGGGGGAAUUGAGUUGUCUCUAAUUUUAUUUUCCAGGUCUAAUUUCAUCCCAUUUCAAGCACUGAACUGAAUAGGCGACUUCAUCUGUAGACUUAAACAGUCAAGUUCCAUUUUAAAGGCGUUAUAUGCAGACAUCUGGCAUGGCAUGGGUAUUUAAUUUUAUCUGUAAUGAUUUAGGUAUAUUUGGGGAGAAUCUAGAUUAGUUAUGUAUGGCCUUAGCUGUAAGGGGAGGGGGUGAAUAUAACUAGACAUCCCUUUAGGUUUCCCAUGUGGUCAGUGCGUAGAUAGGUGGGGGGUAGGUGGUUAGGUAGUUGUAUCUGGGUGGGGCGGGGCUAUAAAUGGUUAUUUUUAGAUUCUUUUCAGACAACACCCACGUAGAAGCAGUUCCGUGUUUUUCUGCCAAGGACAACAGUGGAUCCUUACAUGAUGAUUCCCCUAGCCCAAGAUGUACGACCUGAGCUCAGUGUGCCGUUAGGAGUAUGAGUCCCUCCCUUGUGAGCCAAAGAUCUUCCUACAUGUGCCUGUGAUAUUCUGCAUUCCAAAGUCCCAUUACUGCUGUCCCGCCAGUGGAAGGAUUCCAUGGUUCCUGCCGGUCAUCACAACACAUCCCCUGGGGUGGGACCCCUAAUAAAGAUGCGUUUCUAGUGUGGUCCCUACCAUCAUACCUACCAUCACUUGCCCUAACCCUUAAGGAGCCCCAAGUCUUCUGAACAUUAUGUUGCACUAUGAAGAUAAUCAAGCCCUUUAUUAAGAACAUUUAAGUUAUGAGCCACCCCCUAGAUAAGGAUCAAAUUAAUUGCAAACCCAGCAUGUUAUGGACGUAAAGAUAUAGUUUUAAUUUAUUCACUGGAUCCGCAGUGAGAAGUUGCACAAUAUUUUUAAAGUUCACUGGAACCCCAUAGAAAGUUGUUCAAUAUGUUUUUAUCACUUGUACUGAUAUUUGCAUUAAGUCACUUGGUGUGUGUGUGUAAAUACUGUCAUUUUAUAAUACGAGUAUUUGUGCAUUUAGUGUGUGCCAGAUGAGCCACGCUUUAGACUUUGUAUGUACUGUUGCAGAUUGCAGACUUGUAUUUGCAUAUUUGUGAUGCCAGACAGCUUUGUCGUAAUUUUUAGGCCUCUAUAAUGAGGCCCAAGUAGUCGUGUCUGUGUUUUAUUUAACGGCUCUUUAAAUUGUGUCGUUCUUUUGUUUUAAAAAAAAAAAACAAGCAUGAAAGGUACAUUUGUUGAAUAAGGUAUCAAAUGAUAAAAUUACAAAUAUAAAAAUAGCUUCGCUUUAAUAAACAAAGCUUCGCUUUAACAAACGUCAAGGAUGAGGACCAACAGUCAUCCUGGAACAUCAGCUAACCAAAGCUUCACUCAGCUGAGGAUUCCCAAAGGAACAAGCUGGAACGUCAAUACAUAUUAAAUACAAUGAAAAGAUCAUAAUAACCUAAAACUAUUAAUUCCUUA